UUGUGGAUAGAUGAGUAUUUUUUUUAGAUUUUUUGAUCAAUAGGUUUUAUAUUUUAGAUAAAAUUCUCAAAAAUUCUCUUUUAGGAAAAUUUUCAUUUUUGUGAAUAAUAGUGUGGAUUUGCGGUUUUUAUUUAGAAAUUAGGAUAACAAGAAUUUUUUUGUUUAUAGAUGAGAAUUUCUUUUAGAUUUUUUUAUCAAUAGUUAUAUUUCUUUAAAAAUAAUUCUCAAAAAUUCUAUUUUUGGAAAGUUUUCAUUUUCUAUAGAAUUAUUGUAGAUUGGGGGUUGUGGUUUAUAAACUAUGAAAACAAGAACUUUUGCGGAUAGAUAAGUAUUUUUUUUUUGUUUUUUUGAUCAAUAGAUUUUAUAUUUUUGAUAAAAUUCUCAAAAAUUCUAUUUUAGGAAAGUUAUCAUUUUUGUGAAUGAUGGUGUGGAUUUGAGGUUUUGAUUUAGAAAUUAGGAUAACAAGAAUUUUUUUGUUUAUAGAUGAGUAUUCUUUUAGAUUUUUCGAUCAAUAGUUGUAUUUUUUAAAGAUAAUUCUUAAAAAAUUUAUUUUAGUGAAGUUUUCAUUUUUUUAUAGAAAUAUUGUAGAUUUGGGGUUGUGAUUUAGAAAAUAGGAAAACAAGAACUUUUGUGGAUAAAUGAGUAUUUUUUUUUUAAUUUUUUGAUCAAUAGGUUUUAUAUUUUAGAUAAAAUUCUCAAAAAUUCUAUUUUAGGAAAGUUUUCAUUUUUGUGAGUAAUGGUGUGGAUUUGGGGUUUUGAUUUAGAAAUUAGGAUAACAAGAAUUUUUUUGUUUAUAGAUGAGAAUUCGUUUUAGAUUUUUUGAUCAAUAGUUGUAUUUUUGAAAAUAAUUCUCAAAAAUUCUAUUUUAGGAAAUUUUUCAUUUUUUAUAGAAUUAUUGUAGAUUGGGGGUUGUGAUUUAGAAACUAGGAAAAUAAGAUCUUUUGCGGAUAAAUGAGUAUUUUUUUUUAAUUUUUUGAUCAAUAGGUUUUAUAUUUUAGAUAAAAUUCUCAAAAAUUCUAUUUUAGGAAAGUUUUCAUUUUUGUGAGUAAUAGUGUGGAUUUGGAGUUUUGAUUUAGAAAUUAGGAUAACAAGAAUUUUUUUGUUUAUAGAUGAGUAUUCUUUUAGGUUUUUUGAUCAAUAGUUGUAUUUUUAAAAAAAAAAUUCUCAAAAAUUCUAUUUUAAGAAAGUUUUCAUUUUUUUAGA
This 1203-nucleotide long non-coding RNA is filed under the name Brassica rapa (field mustard). Its description in RNAcentral is "long non-coding RNA (BRAP_LNC003349)". Lineage: Eukaryota; Viridiplantae; Streptophyta; Magnoliopsida; Brassicales; Brassicaceae. The record is from RNAcentral.